RNAcentral lists this ribosomal RNA (492 nucleotides) under uncultured bacterium. RNAcentral's name for it is "partial 16S ribosomal RNA". It matches the Rfam family "Bacterial small subunit ribosomal RNA", at positions 29 to 507 of the family's 1533-position model. The record is from RNAcentral.
AGUGAACGCUGGCGGUAGGCCUAACACAUGCAAGUCGAACGGCAGCACAGUAAGAGCUUGCUCUUACGGGUGGCGAGUGGCGGACGGGUGAGGAAUACAUCGGAAUCUACUUUUUCGUGGGGGAUAACGUAGGGAAACUUACGCUAAUACCGCAUACGACCUACGGGUGAAAGCAGGGGAUCUUCGGACCUUGCGCGAUUGAAUGAGCCGAUGUCGGAUUAGCUAGUUGGCGGGGUAAAGGCCCACCAAGGCGACGAUCCGUAGCUGGUCUGAGAGGAUGAUCAGCCACACUGGAACUGAGACACGGUCCAGACUCCUAAGGGAGGCAGCAGUGGGGAAUAUUGGACAAUGGGGGCAAGCCUGAUCCAGCCAUACCGCGUGGGUGAAGAAGGCCUUCGGGUUGUAAAGCCCUUUUGUUGGGAAAGAAAAGCAGCAGGUUAAUACCCCGCUGUUCUGACGGUACCCAAAGAAUAAGCACCGGCUAACUUCGUG